AGCUCUGCCGUGUCGAUUCCCACUACAAACCCUCCCCCCGACCAGAAGAGAAGAAGAGAACCUUUCGUCUCGGCGGUCCCCCACUGACCCCCGACCCCGAACCCUCGCCGGCCCGCCCGUCCAUGGACUUCGCGGAGCAGGACGUCGACGUCUUCGGCGAGGAAUACGACGGCGCCGAAGCCGAGGCCGAGGGCGGAGGCGGCGCCUCCUCCGGCUCCUCCUCCCCCUCCUCAUCCUCCUCGUCCUCCGCCGCCGCCUCCUCCUCCUCCUCCAGCGCUGCCUCCAGCGGCCGCAGCAGCAGCCCCGCCGCCGGCGGCGGGGACGAGGACGGCGCCGACGACGGGGACGGCGGGGAGUACGACUCGUUCGACGUCGUGCCCGUCAGGCCCGCCGCCGGGUACGGGGACGACGAGGAGGAGGCGAGAGAUUUGUUCGGCUCCGACAACGAGGAGUACGUCAAGACCCCCGCGCGUAGCAACUACCUAGUUCCAGUGCUGCCCCCGAUACGGAACGCCAACAAUUUUUCUCGAGGAGGACGAGGUGGCAGGGGCCCACCUCUUCUUCCAAGGCCAGGAGGCCAUCCAGGAGGACGAAAUAAUUUUGGCCAUGGCGGGAGGUUUUCGUAUGGAAAUGGGCGUAAUGUUGAAGGUUUUGUUUCAGAAAUGAAACUUAAUAAGAGUGAAGAAACUUUAUCUAGGAAGGCUGUUGCUUUUCAGGAGCCAUGUGAGAUUGCAUGCUACAGCCGUGUUGAGGGUGGGGAUGUAUAUUUUGAUGAUCGCAGCUUGAGGCUUUUCAAACGUAAUAUUUGUGAUUAUGCUGGUGAAGAUCUCAAUAAAGGAUUUGAAACGUUUAUAGAGAAAAGAGAUUUGGGUUCUCAAGGAUUUGGCGACCUUCUUGCAUGCAUAAGAAAUUCAAAUCUACCUCUUCAGAAUAUACAUUUUGUGACGUAUCGCAACAACCUUAACAAGAUAUUGGCCACGGCUUAUCUAAAAGAACCAUGGAAGAUGGGUGUGCACAAAAGAAAUGGUGUUGUAUACCUUGAUGUCCAUAAACUCCCUGAAAGACCACAGAGUGAAAUUGACCGCAGGAGAUGUUUUUGGGGCUAUUCUUUUGAAAAUCUUGCCACUGAGAACUCCAUUGACGAAGACGGAAGCGGUAUUGAUGCUAAUGUAGAGUAUUGUUCUGUAAUAAAGACGAAAUUGGGCGCGCAUCGCAUUGUCAUGGGUGCUGAGAUGGACUGCUGUGAUUCAACCGACGAUGGUAGGCGGUUCUAUGUGGAGUUGAAAACAAGCAGAGAGCUGGAGUAUCAUACAGUGGAAAAAUUUGAGAAAGAGAAGUUACUUAGGUUUUGGAUUCAAUCAUUCCUUGCUGGCGUGUCGUAUGUUGUCGUGGGAUUCAGGAAUGAUGCUGGUGUACUUAUACGAACUGAGAGACUAAGAACUAAAGAUAUUACACAAAAAGUGAAAGCAAAGAACUACUAGCAGGGUGGUGUCUGCUUGGCCUUUGCUGACGAGGUUUUAUGCUGGCUGUAUGGCACUGUCAAAGAAAAUGAAGACUAUGUUCUGCAAUUUGCACACCCGUUCCAUCGGUUGGAACUAUUAAAAGCCCAGUCUCCAUGCCCCGAGGCAAUAACUCUGCAUGUGGAACAGCUCACCGGUGCAACAAACUAGAUCUGUUCCCUAGCAAAGCUUCGGCGCUGAUGUUUCGCUAAACGGACAGCUUUGAGGGACCUUACGUAACAGCGUCGCGUCUUAGAAUGGUUCGAGCUAUAGUUCGAGGGGCUGAUGCGGAUGCAUAAGAGACUGACGGUGUCAUGCUAUAUGUUCGGUCGGUAACUGGAGGCAGUACGGUCACGGUUUGCUCUUUGAGUGUCCAAAGAGAUUUUGAAGCCAUCGAACACUGUAUUUCUUCUGUAAUACCAAGUUAUAAAUUAGGGAAGUGCAGAGUUACACUGCCAUUGUAACGGUUCAUCGCUCAAGGCACCAACGAUGUGUAACUUUUGUACCAAUGAUGAUAUUGAAUUUUAAAGACGGAUGCUGCCAUGCCAUGGUAACAUGCCAAGAACA
Triticum urartu is the source of this 2066-nucleotide non-coding RNA. The record is from RefSeq and is a predicted model, not a curated record. Lineage: Eukaryota; Viridiplantae; Streptophyta; Magnoliopsida; Poales; Poaceae.